UACAGAGGUCUCAAGCGUUGUUCGGAUUCAUUGGGCGUAAAGGGAGCGUAGGCGGUCGGGUAAGUUGGAUGUGAAAUCCUGGGGCUCAACCUCAGAACUGCAUUUAAUACUGCUUGGCUAGAGUACUGGAGAGGUGAGUGGAAUUCACGGUGUAGCAGUGAAAUGCGUAGAUAUCGUGAGGAAGACCAGCGGCGAAGGCGGCUCACUGGACAGUUACUGACGCUGAUGCUCGAAGGCCAGGGGAGCAAACGGG
Molecule: ribosomal RNA, 253 nt
Filed under: uncultured bacterium
Lineage: Bacteria
Description: partial 16S ribosomal RNA
Rfam family: Bacterial small subunit ribosomal RNA
Source: RNAcentral